AGCGGUAGGCGGACAUUUAAGUCAGGGGUGAAAUCCCGGGGCUCAACCUCGGAAUUGCCUUUGAUACUGGGUGUCUUGAGUAUGAGAGAGGUGUGUGGAACUCCGGAGUGUAGAGGUGAAAUUCGUAGAUAUUCGGAAGAACACCAGUGGCGAAGGCGACACACUGGCUCAUUACUGACGCUGAGGCUCGAAAGCGUGGGGAGCAAACA
This 209-nucleotide ribosomal RNA is filed under the name uncultured bacterium. Its description in RNAcentral is "partial 16S ribosomal RNA". It matches the Rfam family "Bacterial small subunit ribosomal RNA", at positions 568 to 774 of the family's 1533-position model. The record is from RNAcentral.